RNAcentral lists this long non-coding RNA (2688 nucleotides) under Equus asinus (donkey). Its description in RNAcentral is "lncRNA (ENSEASG00005026941.1)". The record is from RNAcentral. Lineage: Eukaryota; Metazoa; Chordata; Mammalia; Perissodactyla; Equidae.
GUAAGAAGAAAAUGAUUACUGUCACCUUCGUGGCUGUCAUUACCGAUCUUGGCCUCCUGAGCCCUGUCUCUCUGUCGAGCUGGUUGGCCCCGCCCCACCAGGCAAGACGCAGAAGGCGGCAGCCCCGACGUCUGGCAGUUUGCUUUCUGGGGUUUAUUACAAAACUUUGGGCCAGAAAUUCCUCCCUUCAUGGAUCAAGCAACGGAGCUCGUCCUACUGAAGCUGGGGCUUUGGAAUCAUAGGACUUCGGUUUGAAUCCCAGAUCACCCAGUUUUUAGCUGAGGGGUUUGAGACAGUGUCUUUACAGUUGGAGACUCAUUCCCUCAUCCGUAAAAUGGAGACCAAAAUACUACCUUCCUCCUAAAGCUUGUGAGGAUUAAAUGAGAUCACCCGUGUGAAGAGCUUAGCAUGGAACCUGGUUCAUAAGGAGUUGUUACUACUAUCAAUAUUACUAUUAUCAUUAUUAGUUCCUGGCAGAACCAGACCUAGAAUCCAGGCCCUCUUACUCUAGGGAGGCUGAGUCACUUGGGCAAUGACUCAGCCACACCCACCAUGAACUCUCAAUGACUCGAGGAGAAGAAUGGCAUGGAUAAUCUAGAAAAAAUGGACAGUGGGAAAGAACUCCAGUGCUCUCAUGGAGUGCACGGAUCAUGAUUUGCUGCACUGGGGGAGCCGCUGGAUGGAUUCAUUCAUUAUAGUCUCGUCUCUGGCUGAUACUAAAUCUACUUGUUCCUGAGAGCACCUGCGGCCAUCAUGACAGGCUCAGUAUCACAGGGCCUAGUGAAAGAAACUCCCUCUGGCCAAGGACAACAGAAUAAAAACGUAACUGAGUCCCAGAUAUGCUAGUGUUUUCCACCAUUGCAUCUCUAAGAUAUCAACAGGACCUGGAAAGAUGAGAGUGAGUUCACUGUCCCCCCAUGGGCUGAGGUUGCUGGAAUGCUGGAACAGAGAGAAACUGGGAGGUUUUAGAAUGCUCUGGCUUCAGAAUGAAGGGAGCAGAGUGACGAGUGCUGCAAGCUGCAUGGAGCGGCCAAUUGAAAAAGCUAUCGAAGUCAGAACAGCACUGGAAGCGUUGACCCUGAAGAUGCAUGCCUGGAGAGAGGAUUUUUUUCUCUUUUUUUGCACUUUUUAUUGCAGUAAUGCAGGGACAUUCUAUGCAGUCCUGGAGGCAGAGGCGCAGGCGACUCGAGGUCAAACCACUUCUGCUGCUAACUUGGGCAAAUCACACCACCUCUCUGCACCUGUCGGUGAGAGGCUUGGCCUAAAUGGUAUGUCAGCCUCUCCUAGUCUCAGUUGUCUCCCAUUUGUGGAUGCCAUUUCAGGGAUAGAGAAAUCGGAGACUAUUGAUAAAGACUGCAAAAGUGCAGAUUUGCUCAUAACAUGGAAACUCUCAGAGAGCUAGUCCCUACCAGGGAAGGAUGGAGUGGUCUGCCCUGGGCGCUAGGAAUAAGGAAGAGCAUUGUUGAUGGAGAAUUUUAAAACAAUAAUGAAACCAAGGAAAAGUCAGUCUGCUUUUUAGGAUCACCACGCAUGGACAAUUCUAAGCAAUGUCAGGAAUAAAAUACUCCUCCUCACCUGGGUGGACCACUCCCACCAUCCCCCUCCUUGGUUUGCCACUGUUUACCUGAACAAUUCUCUUUUUAUUCAGUGCUCUUUCAAUUCCUCUGACUACAAAGGGGGAGAAAUUCGCUAUGGUGUUAACUCUUUCAUUACCACCCCUUAGUGUUGAUUUGUCUCCAGUAAAGAAGAGUGAUGAGUUACUUUGAGACACAGCAGUGGACCGGAGUGCAACCAAGGAAGCAGGAACAAUAAAAAUGGAGAGAAAAGAAGAUGGAGUGAGGUGUGGAAUGUGUUGAGUAGUGGCUUAGAAAGUGAAGCCCUGAACACAUGGUCUAUGGCCAGGAUGGGGACAGCUCCCCGAAGGCCCAGGUCAGGCUGGACAUGUGGUGCCUAAGAACAGACUGCAGCUGCAUCUCCCUUCUGCUUUCUCAGAUCCCUGGCACUCUGGAGCUUUCCUUUGCGGCACUGUAGAUGCAUUUCUUAGAAGUGAUCUGCUCUGCACUCCUCAUGUCACACCACCCACCAUCCUCCUUUGGGUUGGAUUUCCUUCUCACUGUGUCCCAGUGUCUAGAAUAUGAAGGGACUUUGCCACCCCUCUGGGGACUUGCAUAUCCUGCAUUGAUGCCUCUCUUCUGUAGGCUUGGUCCCCUUGGUGCCCAACCUCCUGCUUGAUGGUGUUGCUUUGGGGUGUGUUCACAUUCUCCAAGGAGCCCUUCCCGAAAGCAGUAAAAAUAACCUGUGUGCGUUCUACAGGGGCUGAGUGGGCUGCUCUGGAGAGGACCAUGGGGUCUGUUGGAAAAACAUGAGUGUGGUGCGGGGAGGAGGCUGGGGAAGGAAUGCAGAAUCUAAAGAUGGAGAUCCUUGCCAAAUUAAAUAAAAAGGGUUUUUGUUUUUCCAAGCGAGAGCCCAGUUAGAAGCAAUUAAAUUGACAAUCAACUCAACCCAACCCAAACCAUGAGGACCGAGUUCUAGUUUCUUACAGAUUUAUAAUUUGCUAAAUUUUGUCUUUUAAACACCCACCAGACACAUAUUCCCUCUUGCACAUUUAGUUCCUAAUUGUUAUCCUAAGAUGAUUUAUUUGUUCUGGCAGGAAGAUAAAAGGAAGAGAUAGCUCCAGUGGAGUUUAUU